CUCCCUCGUUGCUGACCCCAGGUUCGAUAGUGCCAAUAAGACACGACCUCGCCAAGGACCAACUUCGAUGAAGCGACGGGCGGUGUGUGCAAGGAG
RNAcentral lists this ribosomal RNA (96 nucleotides) under uncultured archaeon. RNAcentral's name for it is "partial 16S ribosomal RNA". The record is from RNAcentral.